CAGGCCUAACACAUGCAAGUCGAACGGCAGCACGGACUUCGGUCUGGUGGCGAGUGGCGAACGGGUGAGUAAUGUAUCGGAACGUGCCCAGUAGCGGGGGAUAACUACGCGAAAGCGUAGCUAAUACCGCAUACGCCCUACGGGGGAAAGCAGGGGAUCGUAAGACCUUGCACUAUUGGAGCGGCCGAUAUCGGAUUAGCUAGUUGGUGGGGUAACGGCUCACCAAGGCGACGAUCCGUAGCUGGUUUGAGAGGACGACCAGCCACACUGGGACUGAGACACGGCCCAGACUCCUACGGGAGGCAGCAGUGGGGAAUUUUGGACAAUGGGGGAAACCCUGAUCCAGCCAUCCCGCGUGUGCGAUGAAGGCCUUCGGGUUGUAAAGCACUUUUGGCAGGAAAGAAACGUCAUGGGUUAAUACCCCGUGAAACUGACGGUACCUGCAGAAUAAGCACCGGCUAACUACGUGCCAGCAGCCGCGGUAAUACGUAGGGUGCAAGCGUUAAUCGGAAUUACUGGGCGUAAAGCGUGCGCAGGCGGUUCGGAAAGAAAGAUGUGAAAUCCCAGAGCUUAACUUUGGAACUGCAUUUUUAACUACCGGGCUAGAGUGUGUCAGAGGGAGGUGGAAUUCCGCGUGUAGCAGUGAAAU
Molecule: ribosomal RNA, 649 nt
Filed under: uncultured bacterium
Lineage: Bacteria
Description: bacterial SSU rRNA
Rfam family: Bacterial small subunit ribosomal RNA
Source: RNAcentral